This 103-nucleotide microRNA precursor is filed under the name Olea europaea subsp. europaea. The record is from RNAcentral. Lineage: Eukaryota; Viridiplantae; Streptophyta; Magnoliopsida; Lamiales; Oleaceae.
AUGAACAUGAUGUAAAUGUAAAUGUGCACGUGUUCAUCAAGAAAGUAAAUGACAUUUACUUUCACGAUGAACACGUGCACAUUUACAUUUACAUCGUGUUCAU